UACCAGCACCCCGAGUGGUCGGGACGUUUAUUGGGCCUAAAGCAUCCGUAACCGGUUCUACAAGUCUUCCGUUAAAUCCAACUGCUUAACAGGUGGGCUGCGGAAGAUACUAUAGAGCUAGGAGGCGGGAGAGGCAAGCGGUACUCGAUGGGUAGGGGUAAAAUCCGUUGAUCCAUUGAAGACCACCAGUGGCGAAGGCGGCUUGCCAGAACGCGCUCGACGGUGAGGGAUGAAAGCUGGGGGAGCAAACCGG
This 253-nucleotide ribosomal RNA is filed under the name uncultured bacterium. Its description in RNAcentral is "partial 16S ribosomal RNA". It matches the Rfam family "Archaeal small subunit ribosomal RNA", at positions 474 to 727 of the family's 1478-position model. The record is from RNAcentral.